GCUCCGGUGGUCUAGUGGUUCAAGCGUCUGCCUCGGAUGCUGGAGGUCGUAGGUUCAAACCCCGGUCGUAGGUUCA
Potamilus streckersoni is the source of this 76-nucleotide non-coding RNA. Lineage: Eukaryota; Metazoa; Mollusca; Bivalvia; Unionida; Unionidae. The record is from the annotation of a GenBank genome assembly.